AAUCUGACGGAGAACGAAUUCGUUCGUGUGAAGCUGAGAUACUGGUAGCUGCCGGAAAACGUAGUCGCCGGAGACAAUGGCUAUCGGCGCCGUUGUUUCUAACCGGAAUUUCGGUGGUUUCAUCGGUUCAGGCAGAGAGCAGUAUACAGUACAUCACCAUGGAGAGCAAUUGGGGUUUGCUGCUUUGAAGUAUGUUCAGAGGAAUAUGUUAUACAAUGAGCGGUGUCGCUCAAGGAUUGGCUUAUCGCACUCGGGUUGCAUAUAUAGCUCACAUCCCCAAUCUGUUGGACCUUUGGAUGGUAAAUCUUUUGGAUCGGUAUCACCAUUUUAUGUUGAAGUCGUUCUACCUAACCGGUUUAGUGGAAAGUCUCAUGUCAUCAAUCCUAAGCGAAGAACCAAAAGAUGGGAAUGCUAUCUUUCCUCUACCGGCUCAGGUAACAGUUGGAUUCAACCAAGGAAACUGGAUAAGUUUGGUUUCAUUGAUGGACAAAAGCAGCAGACAAAGCAUGCUGCAGUGAAUAGAGCCCAAGCCGACUUCAAAUCUGAUGGAUAUGACAUAACUGGAG
Molecule: unclassified non-coding RNA, 566 nt
Filed under: Hevea brasiliensis (rubber tree)
Lineage: Eukaryota; Viridiplantae; Streptophyta; Magnoliopsida; Malpighiales; Euphorbiaceae
Source: RNAcentral